AAACUUUCAACAACGGAUCUCUUGGUUCUGGCAUCGAUGAAAACGCACGAAAUGCGAUAAGUAAUGUGAAUUGCAAAUUCAUGAAUCAUCAAUCUUUGAACGCACAUUGCGCCCGCCAGUAUUCUGGCGGGCAUGCCUGUCCGAGCGUCAUUU
This 153-nucleotide ribosomal RNA is filed under the name Trichoderma asperellum. RNAcentral describes it as "5.8S ribosomal RNA". It matches the Rfam family "5.8S ribosomal RNA". From Rfam's summary of the family: 5.8S ribosomal RNA (5.8S rRNA) is a component of the large subunit of the eukaryotic ribosome. It is transcribed by RNA polymerase I as part of the 45S precursor that also contains 18S and 28S rRNA. The record is from RNAcentral. Lineage: Eukaryota; Fungi; Ascomycota; Sordariomycetes; Hypocreales; Hypocreaceae.